AAGUCGUAACAAGGUCUCCGUAGGUGAACCUGCGGAGGGAUCAUUAACACAUAAACAUACACAUAUCGGUUGAUAUUUCGAAAGAGACAUAGGCAGGUAUGGGUAUACUACCAACAACGUGAACGAUGGUGAGGCGUGCUGUACGAUACUCUUGGGUACAGGCAGCGCGUCUCAUCCCCCUCCCCUACUGUGUGCAGGUAGGAGUGAGUGCGUGUAUAUAUAUAUAUAUAUGUAUGUAUGUACGUCUCCUCCUCCUCAUGCUUUAGGACCAUUUUUUUACACAAACGAAAAAAAUACAUUAACCCAGUACUAUUACUAAUACACUUGUACUGCUUGUGUGUGUGUGUAUAUACCUCGUGUAUGUAUGCUCCUCCCUCGCAGUGUUUGACAUAUAACACAAACAAAUGUACAACUGUUAGCAAUGGAUAUCUUGGUUCUC
RNAcentral lists this unclassified non-coding RNA (439 nucleotides) under fungal sp. RNAcentral describes it as "partial internal transcribed spacer region". The stretch from base 1 to 46 matches the Rfam family "Eukaryotic small subunit ribosomal RNA", at positions 1786 to 1831 of the family's 1831-position model. Lineage: Eukaryota; Fungi. The record is from RNAcentral.